Molecule: ribosomal RNA, 225 nt
Filed under: uncultured bacterium
Lineage: Bacteria
Description: partial 16S ribosomal RNA
Rfam family: Bacterial small subunit ribosomal RNA
Source: RNAcentral
UAACACGUGGUCAACCUUCCCGAUAGUGGGGGAUAACUAGCCGAAAGGUUAGCUAAUACCGCAUACAAUCUUCGAGUGGCAUCACAUGAAGAUAAAAGGAGCAAUCCGCUUUCGGACGGGACCGCGUCCCAUUAGCUAGAUGGUGGGGUAAUGGCCUACCAUGGCGACGAUGGGUAGCUGGUUUGAGAGAGCGACCAGCCACACUGGGACUGAGAAACGGCCCAG